RNAcentral lists this ribosomal RNA (604 nucleotides) under Saccharomyces cerevisiae (brewer's yeast). Its description in RNAcentral is "eukaryotic LSU rRNA". It matches the Rfam family "Eukaryotic large subunit ribosomal RNA", at positions 66 to 664 of the family's 3401-position model. Lineage: Eukaryota; Fungi; Ascomycota; Saccharomycetes; Saccharomycetales; Saccharomycetaceae. The record is from RNAcentral.
CAACCGGGAUUGCCUUAGUAACGGCGAGUGAAGCGGCAAAAGCUCAAAUUUGAAAUCUGGUACCUUCGGUGCCCGAGUUGUAAUUUGGAGAGGGCAACUUUGGGGCCGUUCCUUGUCUAUGUUCCUUGGAACAGGACGUCAUAGAGGGUGAGAAUCCCGUGUGGCGAGGAGUGCGGUUCUUUGUAAAGUGCCUUCGAAGAGUCGAGUUGUUUGGGAAUGCAGCUCUAAGUGGGUGGUAAAUUCCAUCUAAAGCUAAAUAUUGGCGAGAGACCGAUAGCGAACAAGUACAGUGAUGGAAAGAUGAAAAGAACUUUGAAAAGAGAGUGAAAAAGUACGUGAAAUUGUUGAAAGGGAAGGGCAUUUGAUCAGACAUGGUGUUUUGUGCCCUCUGCUCCUUGUGGGUAGGGGAAUCUCGCAUUUCACUGGGCCAGCAUCAGUUUUGGUGGCAGGAUAAAUCCAUAGGAAUGUAGCUUGCCUCGGUAAGUAUUAUAGCCUGUGGGAAUACUGCCAGCUGGGACUGAGGACUGCGACGUAAGUCAAGGAUGCUGGCAUAAUGGUUAUAUGCCGCCCGUCUUGAAACACGGACCUCCUGUGUGAAGUGAUC